UAGCUUCCAAUUAUUUGUAAAACCACUCUUAGAUGUCUUACCUGCUAGAAAAGCUUGUCUUUCAAAUAUUCAUUAGCUGUUUGUAAAAAUAACUCAGUUUUUCUUAUUUCUAAUAGUCGCCUCUCUUGUCAUUGUAAUCGCUUAAACUUAGUUUCAAAUUUCUUGAUUAAUUCAUUUGAAGCCAUUUGAUUCCCUGGGCUAUGCUCAAUCCACUAUAAAAAAGUCUAUUUUUAUAUUCAUUCUGAAUUUUCUUUAAAAAAUUCAUCUUUCAAGAGUUCUUCAAAUUU
RNAcentral lists this long non-coding RNA (287 nucleotides) under Physcomitrium patens. Its description in RNAcentral is "long non-coding RNA (PPAT_LNC003239)". Lineage: Eukaryota; Viridiplantae; Streptophyta; Bryopsida; Funariales; Funariaceae. The record is from RNAcentral.